Molecule: ribosomal RNA, 264 nt
Filed under: uncultured bacterium
Lineage: Bacteria
Description: partial 16S ribosomal RNA
Rfam family: Bacterial small subunit ribosomal RNA
Source: RNAcentral
GUCCACGCCGUAAACGUUGGGUGCUAGACGUCGGGGGUAUUGACCCCCUCGGUGUCGAAGCUAACGCAUUAAGCACCCCGCCUGGGGAGUACGGCCGCAAGGCUAAAACUCAAAGGAAUUGACGGGGGCCCGCACAAGCGGUGGAGCAUGUGGUUCAAUUCGAAGCAACGCGCAGAACCUUACCUGGACUUGACAUCUACGGAACCUCCUGGAAACAGGAGGGUGCCUUCGGGAGCCGUAAGACAGGUGCUGCAUGGCUGUCGU